RNAcentral lists this ribosomal RNA (253 nucleotides) under uncultured bacterium. RNAcentral's name for it is "partial 16S ribosomal RNA". It matches the Rfam family "Bacterial small subunit ribosomal RNA", at positions 524 to 776 of the family's 1533-position model. The record is from RNAcentral.
UACGGAGGGUGCAAGCGUUAUCCGGAUUCACUGGGUUUAAAGGGUGCGUAGGUGGAAUGGUAAGUCAGUGGUGAAAUCUCCAAGCUUAACUUGGAAACUGCCGUUGAUACUAUCAUUCUUGAAUAUCGUGGAGGUAAGCGGAAUAUGUCAUGUAGCGGUGAAAUGCUUAGAUAUGACAUAGAACACCGAUUGCGAAGGCAGCUUGCUACACGAUCAUUGACACUGAGGCACGAAAGCUAGGGGAGCAAACAGG